UACGUAGGGCGCAAGCGUUGUCCGGAAUUAUUGGGCGUAAAGAGCUCGUAGGCGGCUUGUCACGUCGGAUGUGAAAGUCCGGGGCUCAACCCCGGGAGGCGGGCGGAUACUGUCGGGCUAGAGUCCGGAAGAGGCGAGUGGAAUUCCUGGUGUAGCGGUGAAAUGCGCAGAUAUCAGGAGGAACACCAAUGGCGAAGGCAGCUCGCUGGGACGGUACUGACGCUGAGGCGCGAAAGCGUGGGGAGCAAACAGG
Molecule: ribosomal RNA, 253 nt
Filed under: uncultured bacterium
Lineage: Bacteria
Description: partial 16S ribosomal RNA
Rfam family: Bacterial small subunit ribosomal RNA
Source: RNAcentral